Molecule: long non-coding RNA, 629 nt
Organism: Pan troglodytes (chimpanzee)
Lineage: Eukaryota; Metazoa; Chordata; Mammalia; Primates; Hominidae
Exons: 5
Source: RefSeq, a predicted model, not a curated record
GAUUAAAAGCUUUAUUGCUCACACAAAGCCUGUUUGGUGGUCUCUUCACAUGGACGUGCAUGAAAUUUGGUGCCGUGACUCAGAUCGGCGGGGGGGGGGGGGGCCUCCCUUGGGAGAUCAAUCCCCUGUCCUCCUGUUCUUUGCUCCAUGAGAAAGAUCCACCUGCGACCUCAGGUCCUCAGACCGACCAGCCCAAGGAACAUCUCACCAAUUUUAAAUCAGGUCUUCUCGGCUUAGCGGCUGAAGACUGACACUGCCGGAUCACCUCGGAAGCCCCCUAGACCGUCACGGACGCCGAGCUUCAGGUAACUCUCACAGCGGAAGGGACAUGCAUGAAAAAAAUGUGCUGGGAACAGGAGAUACCAGGGAGAUCACACAUAAAGAAAUUCUCCUUUCCUUCCAACUGGUGGGGUUCCUCAUGUGAUGGAUGUCUCCAAUUCCAAGCAAUAUUACAGCUAGCAGUUCAGUACCGCUCUGCUCAGCAGUGAAGUGAAGUCAAGCAGUGAACAAUGUUCCAUAAAGGUCAAUUGGCAACUGUACCAUCUGCUCUGGGUCCCUAGAAUAAAUCUCCUGCUGGGGCACUGAUAUACAUGAGCACAUGUUGUUUUCACAAAGACCAAAAUCUUAUA